Molecule: transfer RNA, 63 nt
Filed under: Chimarra paramonorum
Lineage: Eukaryota; Metazoa; Arthropoda; Insecta; Trichoptera; Philopotamidae
Description: tRNA-Tyr
Rfam family: tRNA
About the family: Transfer RNA (tRNA) molecules are approximately 80 nucleotides in length.
Source: RNAcentral
AGUAAAAUGACUGAUUAAAGUGAUAAAUUGUAAAUUUAUAUAUGAAUGUUAAUUCUUUUACUA